This is a non-coding RNA of Photobacterium ganghwense, 171 nucleotides long. The record is from Rfam. Lineage: Bacteria; Pseudomonadati; Pseudomonadota; Gammaproteobacteria; Vibrionales; Vibrionaceae.
GCAAUCUCAGGGGGACAUUUUACUGAGACACACGGCAUAAAAAUGUAUUCGGGCUGAUUGCAUUUUUUAUGCGAUUGUAGGUAUUGGUCAUGCUAGUGGCCAAUAGAAGGGCAUUAAUAGCGCUGACUGCCGGCCAAAGAACCCGCAGCGGCAUAUUGAGGGAACCCAACU